UGGGGAAUAUUGGACAAUGGGCGAAAGCCUGAUCCAGCCAUGCCGCGUGUGUGAAGAAGGUCUUCGGAUUGUAAAGCACUUUAAGUUGGGAGGAAGGGCAGUAAGCGAAUACCUUGCUGUCUUGACGUUACCGACAGAAUAAGCACCGGCUAACUCUGUGCCAGCAGCCGCGGUAAUACAGAGGGUGCAAGCGUUAAUCGGAAUUACUGGGCGUAAAGCGCGCGUAGGUGGUUCGUUAAGUUGAAUGUGAAAGCCCCGGGCUCAACCUGGGAACUGCAUCCAAAACUGGCGAGCUAGAGUAGGGCAGAGGGUGGUGGAAUUUCCUGUGUAGCGGUGAAAUGCGUAGAUAUAGGAAGGAACACCAGUGGCGAAGGCGACCACCUGGGCUCAUACUGACACUGAGGUGCGAAAGCGUGGGGAGCAAACAGG
RNAcentral lists this ribosomal RNA (429 nucleotides) under Pseudomonadota bacterium. RNAcentral describes it as "Proteobacteria bacterium partial 16S ribosomal RNA". It matches the Rfam family "Bacterial small subunit ribosomal RNA", at positions 355 to 776 of the family's 1533-position model. Lineage: Bacteria; Pseudomonadati; Pseudomonadota. The record is from RNAcentral.